This 426-nucleotide ribosomal RNA is filed under the name uncultured bacterium. RNAcentral's name for it is "partial 16S ribosomal RNA". It matches the Rfam family "Bacterial small subunit ribosomal RNA", at positions 354 to 796 of the family's 1533-position model. The record is from RNAcentral.
GUGAGGAAUUUUCCGCAAUGGGCGAAAGCCUGACGGAGCAAUGCCGCGUGAAGGAUGAAGGCCUAUGGGUUGUAAACUUCUUUUCUCAGAAAAGAAUUAUGACGGUAUCUGAGGAAUAAGGAUCGGCUAACUCUGUGCCAGCAGCCGCGGUAAGACAGAGGAUGCAAGCGUUAUCCGGAAUGAUUGGGCGUAAAGCGUCUGUAGGUUGUUUAAAAAGUAUUCUGUCAAAGAUUAGGGCUUAACCCUAGAUAGGCAGAAUAAACUUUUAAGCUAGAGUUUGGUAGAGGCAGAGGGAAUUCCCGGUGGAGCGGUGAAAUGCGUAGAUAUCGGGAGGAACACCAAAGGCGAAGGCACUCUGCUGGGCCAAUACUAACACUGAGAGACGAAAGCGAGGGGAGCAAAUGGGAUUAGAUACCCUAGUAGUCC